GACGAACGCUGGCGGCGUGCUUAACACAUGCAAGUCGAACGGAAAGGCCCUGCUUUUGUGGGGUGCUCGAGUGCCGAACGGGGGAGUAACACGUGAGUAACCUGCCCUUGACUUUGGGAUAACUUCAGGAAACUGGGGUUAAUCCCGGAUAGGAGCCCCUGUUGCAUGGUGGGGGUGGGAAAGUUUCGGCGGUUGGGGAUGGACUCGCGGCUUACCAGCUGGUUGGUGGGGUAGUGGCUUACCAAGGCUUUGACGGGUAGCCGGCCUGAGAGGGUGACCGGCCACAUUGGGACUGAGAUACGGCCCAGACUCCUACGGGAGGCAGCAGUGGGGAAUAUUGCACAAUGGGCGGAAGCCUGAUGCAGCAACGCCGCGUGCGGGAUGACGGCCUUCGGGUUGUAAACCGCUUUCGCCUGUGACGAAGCGUGAGUGACGGUAAUGGGUAAAGAAGCACCGGCUAACUACGUG
This 468-nucleotide ribosomal RNA is filed under the name uncultured bacterium. Its description in RNAcentral is "partial 16S ribosomal RNA". It matches the Rfam family "Bacterial small subunit ribosomal RNA", at positions 28 to 507 of the family's 1533-position model. The record is from RNAcentral.